UUACAACAUGGAGAGUUUGAUCCUGGCUCAGGAUGAACGCUGGCGGUAUGCUUAACACAUGCAAGUCGAACGGUCCUUUCGGGGAUAGUGGCGGACGGGUGAGUAACGCGUGAGAAUCUGCCUUUAGGACGGGGACAACAGUUGGAAACGGCUGCUAAAACCCGAUGUGCCCUUCGGGGUGAAAUAUUUAUAGCCUGAAGAUGAGCUCGCGUCUGAUUAGCUAGUAGGUGAGGUAAAGGCUCACCUAGGCGACGAUCAGUAACUGGUCUGAGAGGAUGACCAGUCACACUGGGACUGAGACACGGCCCAGACUCCUACGGGAGGCAGCAGUGGGGAAUUUUCCGCAAUGGGCGCAAGCCUGACGGAGCAAUACCGCGUGAGGGAGGAAGGCUCUUGGGUCGUA
This 403-nucleotide ribosomal RNA is filed under the name Leptolyngbyaceae cyanobacterium LF-bin-113. Its description in RNAcentral is "bacterial SSU rRNA". It matches the Rfam family "Bacterial small subunit ribosomal RNA", at positions 1 to 427 of the family's 1533-position model. The record is from RNAcentral. Lineage: Bacteria; Bacillati; Cyanobacteriota; Cyanophyceae; Leptolyngbyales; Leptolyngbyaceae.